This 253-nucleotide ribosomal RNA is filed under the name uncultured bacterium. RNAcentral's name for it is "partial 16S ribosomal RNA". It matches the Rfam family "Bacterial small subunit ribosomal RNA", at positions 524 to 776 of the family's 1533-position model. The record is from RNAcentral.
UACGUAGGGUGCGAGCGUUGUCCGGAAUCAUUGGGCGUAAAGAGCGUGUAGGCGGCUUGGUAAGUCCGCUGUGAAAGUCCAGGGCUCAACCCUGGAAAGCCGGUGGAAACUGUCAAGCUUGAGUCCGGAAGAGGCGAGUGGAAUUCCUGGUGUAGCGGUGAAAUGCGCAGAUAUCAGGAGGAACACCAAUGGCGAAGGCAGCUCGCUGGGACGGUACUGACGCUGAGACGCGAAAGCGUGGGGAGCAAACAGG